RNAcentral lists this ribosomal RNA (316 nucleotides) under uncultured bacterium. RNAcentral describes it as "bacterial SSU rRNA". It matches the Rfam family "Bacterial small subunit ribosomal RNA", at positions 29 to 372 of the family's 1533-position model. The record is from RNAcentral.
AACGAACGCUGGCGGCAUGCCUAACACAUGCAAGUCGAACGAAGCCUUCGGGCUUAGUGGCGCACGGGUGCGUAACGCGUGGGAAUCUGCCCUUGGGUUCGGAAUAACAGUUAGAAAUGACUGCUAAUACCGAAUGAUGUCUUCGGACCAAAGAUUUAUCGCCCAAGGAUGAGCCCGCGUCGGAUUAGCUAGUUGGUGAGGUAAAGGCUCACCAAGGCGACGAUCCGUAGCUGGUCUGAGAGGAUGAUCAGCCACACUGGGACUGAGACACGGCCCAGACUCCUACGGGAGGCAGCAGUGGGGAAUAUUGGACAAU